GUAUUUUGCUAAAUAUUCUACAAAUGCAGAUAACACUUUCUGGGCUGUUGAACUUUAUUGAUGGCUUGUGGUCAAGUUGUGGAGAUGAGCGAAUCAUAGUGUUCACAACGAAUCACAAGGACAGACUUGAUCCAGCAUUGUUGAGACCUGGACGUAUGGAUGUGCACAUUGAGAUGUCACACUGCACUUUCAGUGGUUUCAGAGUACUAGCAUCUAAUUACCUAAAGAC
This 229-nucleotide unclassified non-coding RNA is filed under the name Hevea brasiliensis (rubber tree). The record is from RNAcentral. Lineage: Eukaryota; Viridiplantae; Streptophyta; Magnoliopsida; Malpighiales; Euphorbiaceae.